GAGCGCCCCGCAAGGGGAGCGGCAGACGGGAGAGUAACACGUGGGAACGUACCCUUCAGUUCGGAACAACCCAGGGAAACUUGGGCUAAUACCGAAUACGUCCGUAAGGAGAAAGAUUUAUCGCUGAAGGAUCGGCCCGCGUCUGAUUAGCUAGUUGGUGAGGUAACGGCUCACCAAGGCUACGAUCAGUAGCUGGUCUGAGAGGAUGAUCAGCCUCACUGGAACUGAAACACGGUCCAGACUCCUACGGGAGGCAGCAGUGGGGAAUUUUGCGCAAUGGGGGAAACCCUGACGCAGCAACGCCGCGUGGAGGAUGAAGUCCUUCGGGACGUAAACUCCUUUCGAUCGGGACGAUAAUGACGGUACCGGAAGAAGAAGCCCCGGCUAACUUCGUGCCAGCAGCCGCGGUAAUACGAGGGGGGCGAGCGUUGUUCGGAAUUAUUGGGCGUAAAGGGUGCG
RNAcentral lists this ribosomal RNA (459 nucleotides) under uncultured bacterium. Its description in RNAcentral is "bacterial SSU rRNA". It matches the Rfam family "Bacterial small subunit ribosomal RNA", at positions 64 to 571 of the family's 1533-position model. The record is from RNAcentral.